RNAcentral lists this small RNA (533 nucleotides) under Pan troglodytes (chimpanzee). RNAcentral's name for it is "processed transcript". The record is from RNAcentral. Lineage: Eukaryota; Metazoa; Chordata; Mammalia; Primates; Hominidae.
GGCUGGAAUGCAGUGGCGCGAUCUUGGCUCACUGCACCCUCUACCUCCCAGGUUCAAGUGAUUCUGCUGCCUCAGCCUCCCAAGUAGCUGGGAUUACAGCCGCUAUGUGAAACAGCCUUUACCGGAUGAGUUUGGCAGCUCACCCUUGGAGCCAGGGGCCUGCAAUGGCUCCAGGAACAGCUGUGAAGGAGAAGAUGAGGAAGAAAUGGAGCAUCAGGAAGAAGGCAAAGAGCAGCUUUCAGAAACAGAAGGCAGUGGGGAAGAUGAGCCAGGAAAUGACCCCAGUGAGACCACCCAAAAGAUCAAAGGCCAGCCCUGCCCAAAAAGGCUUUUUACCUUCAGUCUUGUGAACUCCUAUGGAACAGCUGACAUAAAUUCACUUGCAGCUGAUGGAAAACUACUUAAACUCAACUCUCGAUCUACACUGGCCAUGGAUUGGGACAGUGAAACUCGGAGACUUUACUAUGAUGAGCAAGAAUCUGAGGCCUACGAGAAGCAUGUGAGCAUGUUGCAGCCUCAGAAGAAGAAGAAGA